Molecule: ribosomal RNA, 497 nt
Filed under: uncultured bacterium
Lineage: Bacteria
Description: bacterial SSU rRNA
Rfam family: Bacterial small subunit ribosomal RNA
Source: RNAcentral
GACGAACGCUGGCGGCGUGCUUAACACAUGCAAGUCAAGGGGGCUUUGGGGGCAACCCUGGGGCAACCGGCGAACGGGUGCGUAACACGUGAGCGACCUACCGCGGUGCGGGGGAUAGCCGGCCCAACGGCCGGGUAAUACCGCAUACGUUCUUUUGGGGGCAUCCCUGGGAGAGGAAACCUGCCGGGUAAGACCGGUGGGGCAGCGCGCGGGGCUCGCGGCCUAUCAGCUAGUUGGCGGGGUAACGGCCCACCAAGGCGAUGACGGGAGCUGGUCUGAGAGGAUGGCCAGCCACAUUGGGACUGAGAGACGGCCCCAGACUCCUACGGGAGGCAGCAGUGGGGAAUAUUGGACAAUGGGCGCAAGCCUGAUCCAGCCAUGCCGCGUGAGUGAUGAAGGCCCUAGGGUUGUAAAGCUCUUUUGUGCGGGAAGAUAAUGACGGUACCGCAAGAAUAAGCCCCGGCUAACUUCGUGCCAGCAGCCGCUGUAAGACCUGA